Molecule: RNA transcript, 2090 nt
Organism: Numida meleagris (helmeted guineafowl)
Lineage: Eukaryota; Metazoa; Chordata; Aves; Galliformes; Numididae
Gene name: sperm-associated antigen 4 protein-like
Exons: 3
Source: RefSeq, a predicted model, not a curated record
UUCCACCUUCCCGUCCCGGCCGCUUGGCUGCUCCGGAGCUGCUCUCCACCAGCGGCUCCCACUCAGCCCAAGAGCUGCUGCGGCCCCCCCACUAUUAGGAUGUGGACCGAGUAGGACCCAAGGGCCCCGGUGCCGCUUCCCGAGAACGUCCUCGAGUUGCCCUUGCUUUGGCCUCGCAGUAGGCCUGGCAGUCGGCCCACCACGCUGCUUUUGGUGCCACCGGGUGCACCCAGGGGAAACGGGAGCAGCUCUGGGGCGCUGAGCUGCACGGCCACGGUGCUGCAGUGCCCUGGAGGUCGCGGGCACAGACGUGUCCUCAGUCCGCACCAUUCCUGAAGUCCUCCGCUCACCUGCGGCCUCUCACGCAACAAGGAAAAGACAGCAUGAGCACAGGGACCAGUAGCAACCCCUGUACUAUAACCAUCUCUCUGCCUUGUCAAUUGCUCCAGUGGUCAACGUGUAUCUCGGAGGGACUUUGUGGAAACUCCAGAAAAUGCAGGAAGACGACAGGGCAGAGGUCAGUGACCGUGGGCACAGACAUCCUUCCUCAGUCCUGGCCUCUUGUGCCCGCCAGCACGGAGCUCACAGCCCUCUGGAUGCGGCUUGCCUGGCGUGUCGGACCUCUGGGCGCUGGCAGUCACACUGAGCUGCCCGCUGACGUGGUCAUGUCCUGACAUCGUUUCUUGUCUUUCCCCAUAGAUACAGCAAUUCCAGCAGGCAGUGUCCGAGCUCAGAGCACAGCAGUGCCAUCAGACACCUGACUGGGCGCUGAAAAGCUUUGGUGCCACCAUCGACAUGCGGAGAACUUCUGAGACAUAUGAAUACAAGAAGUGGAGUUGCAGGCUCUGCAGGCUCUUCUCCCCCAGGAACCCUCCGGAUACUAUACUGCAGGUAUCGUGGCGGCAAUCAGCAGUGCUGGUUGCAACCCUCGCUCUCCCCUCAGGGGUCUCCCCUCAGCCCCAGCAUACUGUUCAAGCCGUGAAACCAAAGGCCCGAUACGGGGCUGGGUGUGCUGGAAAUCGGUGGUUCCCCUCAGGAGGGCACCUGAGCUCAACUGCUGUGUGUGGCCCGCAAUCCUCAGGCACAGCUGGCCGAGAGAGCUCCUCCCCGGGGACACCUCGGUGCCACAGCCGUCCCAGCAGUCCCUCGGGGGGGCGGAGCUGGGGCCUGCAGAGCCAGUGCUGGACAGAGAUGCUUCCCUGAGGUCCCACUCCGAUGUUUUCCUAACCACCAUCUUCCCCUUGUCAGUCACACCGACAGCCCCUUUGUCGGGCAGGGAGCUAAGGCCCUGUCUUUCUGCCCGUUUCCUCACACGGAAGCCACUCACAAGCAGAAGUACGACCCACAGACGCUCGCUGCCUUUGCCUUCCGCUAAACCAGGAGCGGUAUGGCCCAGCGCUCUCUCCUACUUCUCUGCUCUCCCAUUCCGUUUGCAGCCGAGUACUUCCCCCGGAGAGUGCUGGCCCAUGGAAGGACAUCAGGGCCAGGUGGUCAUCAGGUUGCCAGCUGAAAUCCUACCCACUUGUGUCACCGUGCAGCACAUCUUCCAAGAGGUGUCUCCGUCUGGCACCAUCAGCAGUGCCCCCAGAGACAUCGCUGUCUUGGGACUGUAUGCAAGCAGAAAAGAGGAGAUUCCCCUUGGAUCAUUCACCUUUGAUGUGCGGAAAGAGCCCAUCCAGACCUUUGUGCUGACGGUACGGUGCAUGCACGGGGCAGCACGCCAUCGAGGACGCCUGCUGCCUGCCCCUCCCUGUGUCCCCAGAUGCCAGCAGCCCCGCAACCUGGAGCCCUCCGGUUCCACAGCCCCGCUCUCCUGCUUUCUGGAGCUCCUUAGCAACAGGACUGGCAGGGGGAGAGCCCCUGAGCGCAGCAUGGGGCCUUACACACCCCUUUCUUUAUUCUUCCCCAUUUCCUCUGCAGAAUAAUCCUCCCAGAGCCUUCCAGUAUAUCAAGUUUCUGGUGAAGAGCAACUGGGGACAUCCAAAAUACACCUGCAUUUAUCGAGUGCAGGUGCAUGGGAAGGUGGUGAAACAGAAAAAACGGUUUUUUAAUGGAUUGGCAGACGUAAAAUAAAGACAUCAACUACUUAC